RNAcentral lists this ribosomal RNA (258 nucleotides) under uncultured bacterium. RNAcentral describes it as "partial 16S ribosomal RNA". It matches the Rfam family "Bacterial small subunit ribosomal RNA", at positions 96 to 354 of the family's 1533-position model. The record is from RNAcentral.
UGGCGGACGGGUGAGUAACGCGUGGGCAACCUGCCCCGUGCCGGGGGAUACCGCCUGGAAACAGGCGCUAAUACCGCAUAAGCGCAUACAGCCGCAUGGCAGUAUGCGGAAAGCUCCGGCGGCACGGGAUGGGCCCGCGCCCGAUUAGCCAGUUGGCGGGGUAACGGCCCACCAAAGCGACGAUCGGUAGCCGGCCUGAGAGGGCGGACGGCCACAUUGGGACUGAGACACGGCCCAAACUCCUACGGAAGGCAGCAG